UCGAGGGAGUCGGUUUGUGACGAUCUCGGUGUCCCCUCCCGUCGCCGCGGAACAAAAGCCGCCGAUCCGCUGGGUUCGUUUAUUUCUCUCGGGAAACUUGUCUCGUGGAUUCCGCCGGGUUGCACUUGUUCCCGGAGACCGGUGCGUUCGAAUCGCGAUGCGAGCCAUGCCGCGUUCGAUCGACAACGACGACGAGGGCUAGCCUUGCCCUUGAAGUAGCAGCAGUAGCUGCAGCAGCAGCAGCAGCGAGUUUCGAGUGGUCGACACGGAGAGAGGAGCGCAUACCGCGCACGAGCCACCAGCUGUGCCGGAAUCAUCCGCGUGUGUUUGUGUUCAACGUUUUUCCUUGUUUUCCUUCUCUGCGCACUCACCCCAGCAGAGUUCUCUCCUCGUCCUCUUCGCCCUCGAGCCGUCGAAGAGAGACAGAGAGAGAGAAAGUAUUCGUGACAAAAGAGAGGACAGUUUUUACGUUACCGUGGUUGGCAUUGUCCGUUGUUCAGUUCUGUUUGGUGCUUAUGGUGAAUUCGCCGGGACGAUAAGCGAGCCGGGAACAAAGGGACCAGCCGACCACCACAGUGCUCGGGAGCAAGGGAGAGAGAUAUCGGCGUGUAUCGAUCGAGAGAGCGGUGCUCGCUGUUGACGAUAUUUGACAAUAUUUGGAGCAUCACGAACCUUUUACGUUUUAAGCGAACGUAGAAUAUUCUACAUACUUCGUGGACUUCCAGAUGUAAUUUAAUUGCUUUUUUUCAGUUAUUUAAAAGUGAUUUUAUUCAUUUGAUGCUUGUUAGUUGGGACUAUUCGACUAAGAUACAUACAAAUGACGGAGGAGUUGUGACGGUGGCUGAAGUUUGGUCGUGCAAGGUUUACACUGCAUAGUUCGUUAAAGGAUAUUUUAGGCAGUAAAAUAUUCAGAUUUUGGAGUCAGGUCGCCAAACUUAAACAUCAUCAAAAAUUACUGAUGAGGGAGAUGAUUCCAUACUGUUCAGGAAUUUAAAGGUGGCGUCGAACAAAACCGGAUAACGUUAAGCAGAAAAUUUAUUUAAACAUGAUUGAAAUUAUAUAUACCUAAACAUUUAUUGGCAAUUGCAGAAUUCAAAUAGGUGAAGCUACAAAGUACUGAAAUCAUAUCUUUUAGGUAUUCUUAAUUUUUUAUUAUUUGAAAAAGUUUAUGCUUUCUUCUAAUAUUUCGUUUUUCAUGAAUAUUGUAUAAUUAAAUAUUUUCAUCUAAAUGAAUCUGCAUAAAUAUAUUGAAGCAAUUUAUUGUUCUCAUUGUACCCUAUGAACGUCGAAACGUGAAUACAAUAUGUUACUUGAAAGGUGUAAGAAUAUAUUAUUCAGAAUAGCAAUAAAACAUUAUUAAUACAUUGCAAUAA
Molecule: non-coding RNA, 1373 nt
Organism: Megalopta genalis
Lineage: Eukaryota; Metazoa; Arthropoda; Insecta; Hymenoptera; Halictidae
Source: RefSeq, a predicted model, not a curated record